UACGUGGGGGGCAAGCGUUGUCCGGAUUUAUUGGGCGUAAAGAGCGUGUAGGCGGCCAAGUAAGUCUGCUGUGAAAACUCGAGGCUUAACCUCGAGCUGUCGGCGGAAACUAUUUGGCUAGAGUCCGGAAGAGGAGAAUGGAAUUCCCGGUGUAGCGGUGAAAUGCGUAGAUAUACAGAGGAACACCAAAAUAGGCGAAGGCAGUUGACUAUGCAGUUUCUGACAUUGAGGCAUGAAAGCGUGGGGAGCAAACCGG
This 256-nucleotide ribosomal RNA is filed under the name uncultured bacterium. RNAcentral describes it as "partial 16S ribosomal RNA". It matches the Rfam family "Bacterial small subunit ribosomal RNA", at positions 524 to 776 of the family's 1533-position model. The record is from RNAcentral.